CGCUACUACCGAUUGAAUGGUUUAGCAAGGUCCUCGGAUUGGUGCCGACUUGGUGGCAACACUAGGUCGGAUACUGAAAAGAAGAUCAAACUUGAUCAUUUAGAGGAAGUAAAAGUCGUAACAAGGUUUCCGUAGGUGAACCUGCGGAAGGAUCAUUA
Molecule: non-coding RNA, 158 nt
Organism: Macrostomum lignano
Lineage: Eukaryota; Metazoa; Platyhelminthes; Macrostomidae
Source: Rfam